Long non-coding RNA from Brassica rapa (field mustard), 3884 nucleotides. RefSeq lists it as uncharacterized. NCBI's taxonomy places the organism in Eukaryota, Viridiplantae, Streptophyta, Magnoliopsida, Brassicales, Brassicaceae. The record is from RefSeq and is a predicted model, not a curated record.
GAAGAGAAAAGGGUUUUCAAGGGAGAAAUCCAAAGAGAUAUGGAGCAUGAUAAGAAGGGGAGAUGCCUUGGCGGAGGAGAGGAAGAGGAGGCAGAGCAGUACGAUGGUUGAGGUGUUGCCGCCAGACAAUCUGGACGGCUUCAGCCACCACUGCGACGAACUCCAUUCCCAUCUUCGUGCAAAGCUCCCAUUUCUUCUCAGCCAUUACAGCUUCUGCUUCAUCCCGACUUUCAUUUGGCGUGGUUGCGGUCUUCCAUUCGCGUGUGAAGCUCAGGUACGCCCUUAGUUAUUUCGCCACGCUUCAGAGUCUACAGUUACUCGACUAGGAGGAGAGUGAGACUUAGUUCCCUUACCGGAUUAACCAGGGCGAUGGUGAUGAGGGAAGGAUCCAGAGUUGCGCCCACAACUUGGUCGUGUGUCCGAUGACUCAAAGCUACAAUCCCAAUGGUUGUACCGUUUUUGAUUAAAUUUUAGUUCGAUUGUAGAUGUAAUGAUGCCCAUUUUGGAAAGUAUUAAUAAAAAUUAAGUUAUAAAAAAACUAUAAAAUAUUUUUAGACAAAGUGAUCGAGAAAAUAGUGGCAUUUUAAUGCCAUAAAUAACUGAAUUAAUUGUAAGUUUUCAACAUAUACUACUACCAUAUAUCACAAAUCGGAAUAUUAUAAAAAUAUUCUUCUCCGAGAAAUUAAGUGAAAAGGAAGCUCAACCACUUCGAUGUUUGUUAAACUCCAAGUUGACUUACCAUAAAAGGAAGAGUAUAACAUGAACGGGAUUAGGUCUCUAUUUAGCUUGUCGUUAAUCAUUAUCAUAUCCAUACCCUCAACAGCAAGAUGCUUGCUAUAAAACGUCACGUCGCAUCGCCAUCCUCAUAAUAGAGCGCCCUCUCCCAACAGCACGUUGAGUAAACCAAGGCCAUACGAUACCAUAAAGUAUUUGUCCUUAUCAAACAAAUCUCAAUGAACUAUCUGGACUGUUGAUUUUUAUGUAUAUCAACAUCUGAAUAGAAGAAACGAACAAAAUAACAAUUACAUGAUUAAAUUAUCAUAUCGUUCAAUAAACGUGUGUUAUAUAAAUUUUAAUCUAUAUAUCAAAAAAUACGUGAACAUCAUAAGACUCGGUUUCCCUAUUAACUUGAUCUUAAGAAAAAAAAUUCUAAACGCUAUAAGUUUCGUUAAAAAUGAAGAUGAAUUUUAGGAAAAGAAGAAAGAAUUGAAAGCACAAAUAAAAGAUGUUUUUUUUUUUCCAAAUAUAACUCAAAACUCAAAAUCAAACACAAAACUAAUUCAUGAUUUUUUUGGAACUUUCAUUUGCUCUAUUCAUCCAAAAAAUUUGAAAUAUUUACGAAAAUACCAUUAUUAUUAUUUUUUCGAAAAUAAGUUUUUUAAAUCUCUCAUCUUCUACAAAUAUUUAUAAUAUUGUCAUUGUCAUCAAUACACCAACCACAAUGAACAACCAAUUUGAAGCUUUUAAGGCACCUAAAAAUCGAUUUUAACUCCUUCUAUCUCAUUUUUUAUGAACUAAAAACAUCAAUUUCACUUUCUCUCUAUAUUCAUCGAAAAAAACCCAAGAUUUUGAUUCUAAAUUUUUUAAGGUACAUAGAACCGUUCAAGCUCAUGAUUCGUGGUCAUUAACAAGUAGGUUGCUUUGGUGGUGAAGUAUUGUGUGGUUGGAGAAGUUAAACAAGUUAUCUCACUGGUUAAAGCUAUGAAAUCAAUUUUUUUUUCAGAUCUGUCCGUCAGAAGACUUCCGUAUAAGUUUUUUUCGACGAGAAGACUUACACGGAAGUCUUCUGGUCAAUGCAUAGGUUAGUUUCGCAGUUGACUUUAUGUGUGUUUUUUAGAGACGACUUCUCUAGAAGUCUUCCGGUUUUCUUUUUCAAAAAAAAAAUUAGAGAAGACUUCUCAAUAAAUCGUCUAGGAUAAACAAAUUAGUUUUUCAUUUGACCAGAUUGUGUAAGAAAUUUUACUUUUCUUAGACGACUUACAUGGAAGUCGUCCAACAGAAAAAUAAAAUUAAAUAUUUAAUUUUUACUAGACGACUUCCAAGUAAGUCGUUUCAGGUUACUUUUGCAAUUGAAAAACAAAACUUAAAUAUUUAAUUUUAUUCGGAUGACUUCAAUAUAAUUCUUCCGGUAGACGACUGACACAUAAGUCUUCCAGGAUUUUAUUCCGAGAUUCUGGUCAAACUUCGGUUAUAUACAAAAGACUUCCAUAUAAGUCGUCUGCCGAAAGACUUAUAUAGAAGCCGUCCGGAUAAAAUAAAAUUUUUAAAUUUUAAUUUUCAAUUGUAAAAGUAACCUGAAACGACUUACAUGGAAGCCGUCUAGAAAAAAAUCGAUAUUUAAAUUUUAUUUUUAUAUUGGACGUGUAAGUCAUCUAGGAAUAAUGAAAUUUCUGACACAAUCCAGUCAAAUGCCAAACUAACAUGUUUAUCUUAAGUUAGUUUUUGUAAAACUUGUAUUUUCAACUUUAAGAUUUAUAUUUUUGAACUUUCAAAAGUGUUAAGUAACUUCAAAAAUAUCAAGUCAUAUGGUUUAAUGUGUCUUCUUAGAUCAUAAGAUAUACUUUUUAAUUUUCAUGAAAUUUGAAAUUUUAAUUUUCACUUAAAUUUGAGUUUUCCACUUAAAUUUUCCUCUUAUAUAUAAAUUUUCCGCGUGAAAUUUAAGUCUUAUGAGAAGAAGUCUUCCGGAAGACUUCCCAGAAAACUUCUAGUGAAAGAGUUAUAAGUAGUUUAGCAAGAAAAAGAAACUGUUAUAGGUUUGAACUAAUGUAAUGUUUGAUAUUUUGUGAAUUUGAUUAAGUUUUCUUGAGAAGUUUUCUUGAGAAGAUUUCUCUAUUAGUUGUAGUAAAUUUGACUAUUUUUUGUGUUAUUGUGUUUUCUAUUUAAAUUGUAUCAAUAACUUCAAUAAUGUCAAAUACUUUUGGCAAGACAAUAUUGUAAACAUGAACAUAUUUACCUAAUCUUUUUAUUAAUAAUUUUUCAAAUUUACAAAAGAAUUCACAACUAAAAGAGUACACAUGUAAAUUACAAAACAUACCAUAAACAAAACUAUUACUCCAUCUGUUUCACAAAGAGUGUCACUUAGACAAUUUUCACACAUAUUAAGGAGUUCAUUAAAAUGUAUUUAUGUUUUCAUUAAUAUCACAUAUUUAACCAAUAGUAUUUUAGAUAAUUCAAUUUAUUUAUAAAAUCAAUGCAUUUUGCAAUUAAUGUUGAGCUGAAAGGUUGUAUAAAUUGCAUUGGUAUUGUAGAAUGACAUUCUUUGUAAAACAAGAAAAACUGAGCUAAAGUGACACUUAAUAUGAAACAGAGGGAGUAUAGUUCAUUCCUCCACAAAGACAAGCUUUCCACUUGACAUGGAAAAAGACUUUGCCAGAAGACUUCCAGGAAGUCGUCUAGUGCAUUAAAUGUUAGAAGACUUCCGAGAAGACUUCCUUGAAAGUUUUUCAAGUCUGUCUCAAAUGGCUUCAAAACAUAGAAAAAUUUCAAAAAUAAGGUAAGAGCUUAAAACAACCAAAAGAAUUUUUCAAAAGUAAGAGUUUUAAACAACAGUAGGUUACCAAAUAAGAAAAUAUGAUUUAUAGAUCUACCUUUAAAAGAGUGGAAGAUGAGAACCAUGUAAUGAAAAACCUACAAAACAAGAUGAAUUAGUGAGAAUAACAUGAGACAAAAAAUGAUAAAUUGAUAUAAAGUUUGGUGUUUAGAAAAAUGAUAAAUUAUGAAAAAGAUAAGAUCUUUAAGCAACAAGAGGUUACCAAAUGAAGAAAAACCAGACAUAUAAACUUACUAAAACACUCAGAUCUGAAAUGAAAGAAGAGACAUGAAAAGACUUCCGAAAAAACGUGUGUCUCAGAUCUGAAAACAUGCUUAUCGAAAAGCAUUCAAAU